GUGUUGUGGUUGUCGAUGGAGCUUCAGUUGUCGUUCUAGGUGCUUCUGUUGUGGUCAUAGGAUAUACAGUUGUUGUAAUAGGAGCUGCAGUUGUCGUUGUCGUAGGAGCUGCAUUUGUAGUUGUCGUAGAAGGUGCUUCAGUUAUAGAAGUCGUAGGAGCUACAGUUGUUGUAGUAGAAGCUGCAGUGGUUGUCGAAUUAGGUGCUGCAGGUGUAGUGGUCCUAGGAGCUACAGUUGUUGUUGUUGUAGUAGGUGUUGUAGUUGUUGUAGGAGCUACAGUUGUCAUUGUAGUAGUAGGUACUGCUGUUGUAAUGGUCGUAGUAGGUGUUGUGGUUGUCGAUGGAGCUUCAGUUGUCGUUCUAGGUGCUUCUGUUGUGGUCAUAGGAUAUACAGUUGUUGUAAUAGGAGCUGCAGUUGUCGUUGUCGUAGGAGCUGCAUUUGUAGUUGUCGUAGAAGGUGCUUCAGUUAUAGAAGUCGUAGGAGCUACAGUUGUUGUAGUAGAAGCUGCAGUGGUUGUCGAAUUAGGUGCUGCAGGUGUAGU
This 541-nucleotide long non-coding RNA is filed under the name Salmo salar (Atlantic salmon). Its description in RNAcentral is "lncRNA (ENSSSAG00000120891.1)". Lineage: Eukaryota; Metazoa; Chordata; Actinopteri; Salmoniformes; Salmonidae. The record is from RNAcentral.